GAUGAACGCUGGCGGCGUGCCUAAUACAUGCAAGUCGAGCGAAUGGAUUAAGAGCUUGCUCUUAUGAAGUUAGCGGCGGACGGGUGAGUAACACGUGGGUAACCUGCCCAUGAGACUAGGAUAACUCCGGGAAACCGGGGCUAAUACCGGAUAACAUUUUGAACCGCAUGGUUCGAAAUUGAAAGGCGGCUUCGGCUGUAACUUAUGGAUGGCCCAGCGUCGCAUUAGCUAGUUGGUGAGGUAACGGCUCACCAAGGCAACGAUGCGUAGCCGACCUGAGAGGGUGAUCGGACACACUGGGACUGAGACACGGCCCAGACUCCUACGGGAGGCAGCAGUAGGGAAUCUUCCGCAAUGGACGAAAGUCUGACGGAGCAACGCCGCGUGAGUGAUGAAGGCUUUCGGGUCGUAAAACUCUGUUGUUAGGGAAGAACAAGUGCUAGUUGAAUAAGCUGACACCUUGACGGUACCUAACCAGAAAGCCACGGCUAACUACGUGCCAGCCGCCGCGGUAA
RNAcentral lists this ribosomal RNA (515 nucleotides) under uncultured bacterium. RNAcentral describes it as "partial 16S ribosomal RNA". It matches the Rfam family "Bacterial small subunit ribosomal RNA", at positions 28 to 523 of the family's 1533-position model. The record is from RNAcentral.